CUACUAUGAUGAAACAACUAUUCAGUUCUGCUACCGAGUGUUUCGUGAGCGAUAACCCAACAUACCAAAAAACAUUUUCUGAACC
This 85-nucleotide small nucleolar RNA is filed under the name Cryptococcus amylolentus CBS 6039. Lineage: Eukaryota; Fungi; Basidiomycota; Tremellomycetes; Tremellales; Cryptococcaceae. The record is from RNAcentral.